This 406-nucleotide unclassified non-coding RNA is filed under the name soil metagenome. Its description in RNAcentral is "partial contains 5.8S ribosomal RNA, internal transcribed spacer 2, and large subunit ribosomal RNA". The stretch from base 1 to 121 matches the Rfam family "5.8S ribosomal RNA", at positions 35 to 154 of the family's 154-position model. The record is from RNAcentral.
GAUGAAGAACGCAGCGAAAUGCGAUAAGUAAUGUGAAUUGCAGAAUUCAGUGAAUCAUCGAAUCUUUGAACGCACCUUGCGCCCAUUGGCCAUUCCGAAGGGCAUGCCUGUUUGAGUAUCAUGAACACCUCAACUCUUCAUGGUUUUCCGUGAUGAGCUUGGACUUUGGGGGUCUUGCUGGCCUAUGGUCAGCUCCUCUAAAAUAAAUCAGCUUGCCAGUGUUUGGUGGGUAUCACAGGUGUGAUAACUAUCUACGCUUGUGGUUUUCCACCAGGUAACCUUCAGCAGUGGAGGUUCGCUGGAGCUCACAGAUGUGUCUCUCCUCAGUGAGGACAGCUCUUUGAAUGUUUGAUCUCAAAUCAGGUAGGACUACCCGCUGAACUUAAGCAUAUCAAUAAGCGGAGGA